This 4333-nucleotide long non-coding RNA is filed under the name Phocoena sinus (vaquita). RNAcentral describes it as "lncRNA (ENSPSNG00000001519.1)". Lineage: Eukaryota; Metazoa; Chordata; Mammalia; Artiodactyla; Phocoenidae. The record is from RNAcentral.
GGAGGGAGCCUGGGUCUCCAGACUUCCUAUCCUCCAAACAAGUUUUGCUCACCUAAACUCUAAGCAUGGUCGGCAGAGCUACCCGUUGUCACAAAUAUUGAAAGUCUAGGUUAAAAUAUUUACUUUCUAUAUGUAAGUCUGCAUUUUUGUAUUAAUUUAUUUUACCAGCAUUUUCCUUUUUCUCUCUUUCUUUUCCUUGUCGCUCCCACAUAAUGAAGAAAAAGACAAAAGCAAGAAUGACAUGUAUAUCCCAACAUGCCAAUUAUCUGUGGCUCCCAGGGGAGCUAGAGGAUGGAGGGAGACAGCGGAGAGGAGAAAGGUGAGGGGAAGCAGAAAAGAAAGAUCAGGGACCCCGGGAGACUAAGAGUUGGGCACUGGGCUCCUGCAGUCUUAAGGCACCAAAACCAGGCCACAAGGUGGUAAGAUGAGGCCAGCUUUGGAACCAGACAGAUCUGGGUUCAAAUUCUGACUUUUUAGUUAUGAGACCCUGGGCAAGGCACAAGCUUUCCAAGUGUCAGUUUUCUCAUCUGCAAAGUGGAAGUGUAAAGACAAUGUAUGGAAAAUGCCUGCCAGCUGGUAAGUAGCUGCUGUGGCAGCUUUAGUUUGACUCAGUGGGCUAUUAACAGUAGCUCAGGCGGUAGGAGUACGGUUAGAAUGAGGCUUAGGGGAUGGGGUUACUGUCACUGUGUUCUGGUACACGAGCUGAUCCAGUCCAUGGACUGUGCCCAUAGGCCUUUCUUCAAGGAGAGAGAAUACCAGGUACUGGGCUAAAGGCCAGAGAUAGGAAGAAGGGGGAAAGCUUGAUCUUCUGUCUUCAAGAAUUUCAGAGCUUAGCACAAAGCCAGGCUCCCCGCUAGAAAAACAGCUUAGAGCGUACGCCGGUGGUGGGCUGCCAGCGUGAUCUCUGUUAAGGAAGCAUGAGCACCGGCACUGUGGCUGGAGGAUAAUGAUGCUGGAACUCUAGCUUUUCCCUCCUCCCAGAUCUGUCUUCCCUCACUGCAUCACUCCAGUUUCUUUACCUGAAAUAUUUCCCUUACUUCCUCCCAGUCACGUGUUCUGGGGCAAAUGGGUGGACUGAGUAGGGGUGCGGGGCAACCUGCUUACUACACAGUUGCCAAUAGACGUAUUUCAGGAUGUGUAUUUUUCUUUCUUCUUUCCUCUCUUCCAACAUCUUUGCUAUAUUCUUUUCUUACACAAAUGAACUGGAAAAGGGAGAAUCUUUUGGGAGGCCCCAGGCAAGGGAGAUGAGGAAAGCCAGUACACACAGAGUUGAAAUGGGGCGAGGGGUAGAGACAGGUAAAGAACUAAGUGCCAUUUCCUAUUUCAAUGACAUUUUCCUCAACUUUUCCUGUUCUUCCCCCAUUAACUUGUAGAGGUUUGGGGAACAGAGUGCAGUACAGUCCUGACUGGCCUCCAUUAGGAAGAAUAUCUGAGGUGCUGACCUGGAAAGCUGAUGAAUUAAUUUGCAUGCUAUUUCCACAGCAUAACUGUAGGCUGUUUAGGGUGAAAAGAAAAGGGGAAAAAAAACAAGUUUUUCUAACUCCCGCUCCAGCCUUCACAAACCAUGCCGUGCCGACCCUAGGGAAAUAGCUUUGCCUCCUUCCUUGCCCUCUCCCAGACCCUCUGCCAACAGUAAGCUCUACCUCAUUGCACACAAAAAGCAGCCCCGAAGAAUCUCUCCCCUUUCUAAACCUUACAGGCAAGAGGACCCAGCCCCAUUCUGCAACUCUCAAAGCUCAGCUACAGCCCCUCCCCUUGACACUCCCUCCCCUUGCUGGGUUCGUUCUUUUUUCUGCUUUCUUCCUACCUCCGAGUCUCCCAACAACAGCAGCCAAUCCCCAGGCUGCUCUAGAGCCACACCAUAUAUGGAGAGGUUGAAAAGAAACCCGAGUAAAUGUGGGAGCGAACACACCACACACACACACACACACACACACACACACACAAUAACACACACACACGCUAACAGUUUUUGAGCGCCUCUCUGCACGUGACCCUGUGUCUAUUUGUCUGUGUGUUUGACACAAGUCCCACCAUUCCCUGCCCCUGGCUCACCCCACCCAAGAACGAGGAACCUGUUUGCUGUUCCCGGCCUUUAUUCAUGCCCCCUGAGACCAUCAAUCCAACCAGUUGCCUCUGACCUAGAUUCUCUGCACUAAUUACAAUCCUAACGAGAUCUAACAAACAUACAACUUAGCACAGCUGAGACCCUCGAGGUCAAUUAGUACAGCCCAGCUCAGCUCAGGAAAUGGGAGAUGGAGCCAGAAACUCUUGUACUUGCCUCACCCCGGCUCAGGCCCCAACCCCAGCCUGGGCUUGAAAGCAGGCUUGAGGAGAAUGCAAAAAUUAGCAAAACCAGCUUAAAAAUAAGAUCUUGGAGAGUUAACGAGCAUGGAGAGAACUGCGUUAAGGUUGGGGAGAAUUGGAGAAUACAGAUUCCCUGCUUUUCCUAAGUUAUCAGGAGGGAGAGGCUGAUGCAGCUACAGAAAGGAGGGACAUAGGCAGUUUUCAUUUUCGUAAAGACAAUACGGAGAAGAGUAACUUAGAGAAGAGCAGGUAACAUAGAACUCUUGAUCUGCAUCACAGCCUCCGACUUAUUCCCUCCUCCUCUUUGCUUUCUCCUUUGGACAAGUUGGAUUUAUCUCCCCUGUCUUUCCUGCUGGUUUGGAAUAGCUCUGAAAUCACCUCUUUCUUUCAAAAAUACUAGACUCAACCUCAUUCUUGCUUUUCCUCUUCCAUAUAGUAAAACCAUGACAGCAAACAGCCCCUUCCUCCUAAGAAACACAGAAAAAUCUAAAAUAAGGGUAACCAGUUUUGGGUUGACAAAGUGUUGUCGGACAUUUGGGGAUGAUGCCUAAACUGUCUUCUAGAUGAAGAAUGAGAGAAAACGGCCACAAGUGGUAACAAUGGGAAUGCAGUUGCUUUUGCAAAUUUGUCCUACCUGGCAGCAAAUGCAGCGCAACAAAAAGAAGAUUGAGCAGGGCAAUGUGGCUCGUUCCCCGCUUUACUGGGUUCCUUUCUUUAGGUGGCAAAACAAGGCAGUGGAAUGGUUGCCUGUCCUGUAUCCUCUGCGUGCAGACCAGUUGUCCUAACCUCAUCCCUAACGCCUGUGGCUCUAUCAAGGAGGGAGGUGGAAGGAGAGGGCUAGUGGAAUCCUCUACACCCCAGUGGGGAAGUGGACUUGGAGCCACUGCAAGAGCAGAAUGUCCUUCAUCCCCCAGCAUUUAUCCAGCCUCGUUCAGAGCGCUGCACCCUGCUGGCACCCUGCUGGCACCCUGACUCCUCCACAGUCCACUGCCGCAGCAACCAGGAACCUGCAGGGCAGGAUGAUUCACAUAGCAUCAUGUCUGUAUGUUGAUGAUUCCCAAUUUCCUUCCCUGGCCUAACCCGGCUCUGGGAUCAAGGCGCUUACAGCUAAGUACCUAUUUGGCAUCUUUACUUGGGUGUCUAACAGGCCUCUUUUUUUUUUUUUUUCUUGUGAUGAGAACUCUUAGGAUCUAUUAACUUCUUUUAAUACAAUUUUAAAGGUUAUACUCCAUUCACAGUUAUAACAAAAUAUUGGCUAUAUUUCCCAUGUUGUACAAUACAUCCUUGAGCUGUCUUACACCCAAUAGUUUGUACCUCCCACUCCCCCACUCCUAUAUCCCCCCCUCCACUGGUAACCACUACUUUGUUCUCUAUAUCUGUGAGUCUGCUGCUUUUUUUGUUAUAUUCUCUAGUUUGUUAUAUUUUUUCAGAUUCCACAUAUAAGUGAUAUCAUACAGUAUUUAUCUUUCUCUGUCUGACUUAUUUCACUUAGCAUAAUGCCUUCCAAGUCCAUCCAUGUUGCUGCAAAUGGCAAAAUUUUAUUCUUUUUUAUGGCUGAAUAGUAUUCCAUUUUAACAGGCACCUUAAAUUUAAGUGUGGUAGAUCCUUAAAUAAUGGCCCUCAAUGAAUCAACCUCCAUCCAUGCUCUUGUAUUGUGAGUUUACUUCUCCUCCCACUCAAGAGGCAUUGCUAUUUCUCCAAGUGCUGUCUGAAUCUGGGUUUGCCUUGUGACUUGCUUUGACCAGUAGAACGUGCAAUUGUGUAGGUUCCAGAGUUUAGGCCCUAAGAGGUCUCACAGUGUCCUCUCUGGCCCUCUUAAAAUUUAGCUGCAAGUAAGAAACCUGGCCGAGCAUCUUUGGGAUAUGAGACCAUGUGGAGAAAGAGGCAUUGAAACCGCGCGAAACCAUCCCAAACAUCCGAGCCUCUGGGCAAACGCAAGCUAAAUGCAGCACAACAUGCAAGACCAAAGACCAACCAUCCAGUCAGCCCACAGAAUUGUGAGAAAUUAAUAAAUCAUUGUUGUCUU